This 6913-nucleotide long non-coding RNA is filed under the name Podarcis lilfordi (Lilford's wall lizard). Lineage: Eukaryota; Metazoa; Chordata; Lepidosauria; Squamata; Lacertidae. The record is from RNAcentral.
CCCUUUAGUAUAGCCAAUUUAAAGUGGAAAAUUCCCUGGCCAGUUGUAGUAAUUUCAAAGUUCCUCUAGGGGGACACAGCAGCAGUUCCAAAUUGUAAAAAUAAAAUAGCUAUUCCAGCUUUCAAAGAUCCCCCCUUAGCCGCAAAGGGCAACAGUUUCAAGUCCAGUGGAGCUUUUCAAAAUCAAAGUAUCCCUCUCGCAGAGCUAACUGUCAGAAAGUUGCAUUGUCUUUUGACAGCGUGUUUCCCAAUACGGCAAUAUCAAUGUCCCUUGACAGUCCGUUCCCAGGCAUUAAGUGAUGGUCUUAGUUCACUUUCUCUCUUCUUUUGCGGGCAAAACUUACUUCCCCUUCUCCCUCCCCUCUCCCGCACCACAGGGAGGGAGUUCUCUUUUUAUUGAUGUAGGAUUUAAGUCUUUUUCAACGCAGUUUCAAGCUCUUUGCUUUUGACAGUCUUUGCUUUGAUCUAUUUACAUAAAAGGAAGGCGGACUUCCUGUUUACACCUUCCCGCUUCGGUGCCAAAUUAGCCCUUUUUUCCUUAAGUCCCCCGAUCUUCGGUCUUAACCUACUCACGGGUAGUUGUUUCUUAGCCGAAUUGUCACAGGAAAAAGGUCGGCGCUCUCCGGCAACAGCUGCGCGGCUUCACUCCACGGAAGAAGCAGUUGACUCUCAGCAUCGCGCCAAACUCCCCGCUCCGUUCCUGAACUCUUUCCAGGGUUCCCUCGCGAGUUGGGGGGGCGCUAAGGGUACCCGCCGAGUCCCACGGUCACAGCUACACCCGCCUGUGAUUUUCGAAGGGGUCCCCGCUUCGCCGUAGCGGCACGACCCGAUUUCCGCGGAGCUAUUCCCUCGAGACUAGAGGGAAUCCGCCAUUGCCGAUGGCGCCGCCUCCGGAAGUCCAGACUGCUGCAGUUUGGAUCCUAUUCAACUCAGUACAUAACACAAUUGAAAGAAGCCCAAAGCUUAUUUGUCUUCUUUCUAUGCACAUGGAAGCAAAAACAACCUGUUUUAUUUUGUUCAGGCUUCUUUCAUUUCGCUUUGAGAUUUUUGGAUGCACAGCGAAAGAACCUGAAACCAAGUGCAAGUGAAAGAUGCCCAAGCAAAGCUUAUUCGUCUUCUUUUUAUGCAUAUUGAACCAAAAAGAAUCUGUUUUCCUUUGUUCGGGAUUCUUUCACUUCGCUUUGCGAUUUUUGGGUGCACAGCCAUAGAACCUGAAACCUGGUGAAAAUAUCCAAUCAAAGCUUAUUCGUCUUCUUUUUGUGCAUAUUGAACCAAAAGGAAUCUGUUUUGACAUAACGAGUUAGAAGGAGGGGAGGGAGAGAAAGAGAGAGAGAAAAGGAAGGAGAGAGAUAGAGAGAGGGAUGGGAGAGAGAGAAGAAAGGGAGAGAGAGAGAGAGAAAGGUGGAGAAAGAAAGAGAGAAGAGGAGAGGGAGAGUGAGAAAGAUAGAAGAAAGGAAGAGAGAGAGAGAUGGAGAAAGAAAAAGAGAAGAGGGAGGGAGAGAAGAAAGGGAGAGAGAGAGACGAAAGAGAGAGAAAGAGAGAGAGAAAAGGAAGGAGAGAGAUAGAGGUACAGAGAGGGAAGGGAAAGGGAGAGGUAGAGAGAGAGAGAAGGAAGGGGAGAGAGAGAGAGAGGAAAGGGAGAGAGAGAGAGAGAUAAGAAAUGGAGAGAACGAGAGAAAGAUCAGGGAGAGAGGAAGAGAGAUAGAGAGAAGGAAGUAAGCAGAGAGAGAGAGAAGGAAGGGAAGAGAGAGAAAGAGUGAAAGUGAAGGUGAACGAUUUAGUUGAAUACUGCUACUACACAGAUACUGUGAUACUACACAGAUCCCUUGAAACUUUCAGUAGUUUUAUCAAAUUUGGUUGCUGUUUUGGGGGCGUGUCCCAUGGAAUUUCUCAGAUGUUUCCUUGGAGAAGAACCUUCAAUAUCACUUUGCAUUUAUCUUGAGCUGAAACUAAUGGCAUCCUCAAUCCUACCAACAGAAAAUGUCCUGGUGUAACACCAACUGAGUCUGCCCAUAGUUCAGGAACCUGAGUGAAUUUAUCUGAUAGUGUGUACUUUUUAGAAGCCCAGAGUACCUCAAUAUUACUGUUGUGUACAAUUAUGUUCUAAUGGAUUAUUGAAUAUUACUUCAUUUGAUAUGUUGCUUAUUUUAAAGUUAUUAUUUUAUUAUGACCUUGUUGUAUUGGAUCAGAUUAUAAGGUGUGUGAUCUUUGUUGUAUAUUUCGUUGUUGUAAACUGCCUUGUGUAAUACAGAAAGGAAGUAUACAAAUUAAAAGUGAACUGAAAUGAAAAAAUAGAGGAAAGUCACAUCAGGCCAGCUUCAACUAACCUGAUGUGCCAGCAAAAGCCCGUGCAAGGACUUCCGCUAGCCCAAAGUCAGGUUUCCCCAUUCACCCCACAAGUACCUCUGCACCUCCAUCAUAUCCAUUCUGGAAGGUCAGGAGAACCCCCAGAACAGCAGGGGGGGAGAUUGUUCCAACUGACAAAGUGCGAUGCUUACACUGAUGGAAAGAUCAUAAUAAUACAACACUGAAAUAUUUCCUCCCAUUCUUUCAGUCUGUCAUUGAUAUUUUAGUGCUGUAAAUUUAAGAAGCUAUUGAGCCAAAUGUUUGGUACUUUUUUCAUCAGAAAAAAAUCUGAUAUAGCAAUUACCAAAUUCAAGGGUUCAGGAGUUCAGAACUUGAGUGAAUUUCUGCAACACAAUGUGCACUUUUAAGAAGCCUAGAUAAAAGUCAUAUUAUCCUUUUCAGUUUAUGUUUGAUAUUUUGGUGUUGCAAAUUCUUAGAAGUUGCUUCUAGCUUCUGCUCUUCUUCAUUAAUUAUCCUCAUGGGAUGUGGUCCCUCUGGGAUCUCAUAAACAGUUCUGAAUUUCCAACAUAAGAUCAUGGAUUUAAAAAUGUUUGGAGAUAAUAUAAAUACUUUGGCAAUACCAUAAAAAUGUAAAUCUUAAUUGGUUCCGACAAAACUAUGUUUUGUUCUUAGCCAGAUGAAGAUUCUACAACACUAGUGAGUCAUCUAAAGAUUUAAAUUUCAAUAAGUAGGACUAAGUUAAAACGGAUGUUUGCUGAAUGUUCAAGCGCAUUCACAGUGGAGUGAUUUUUUUGAGAGGUAAGUGUGAUAAAAAGUUUUGAAGAUGUGUUUGACGCUGUUUCUAGUAAACAGUUGUAUAUGGUCUUUCAAUAUAGAAGGAGACCCUUAUGGUAGACAGAUAUUCCAUAAAAUAUAAGAGUGACGAAGAGUAUCUUUUUGAGUUGAGAAUCUACAUGCACUAAUUCAGGACCUAAAGAAUACACUUAGAGAUAUUUUAUAUGGUUGCUUCAUCUCCCCAAAUACACUGUGAUGCAAACAUGUUGUUAGAGCCUUGUUUCAGAUUAUUAUUAUUAUUAUUAUUAUUAUUAUUAUUAUUAUUAUUAUUAUUUACUGCACUUUCUGUCUCUUGUUUUUGUGAAACACCUUCAGUGUGUCAAAGUCAAAGAGCAGGAGAAAAAUCUCCUAAGGAAAUACUACAAACAAACAAACAAACAAAUGUUUUAGUUUGCUCCUUGUGAGUAAAGCUAGCAAGUGUGAAAGGAGUGGGGGAGGUUUGGUUUGAAUGCAAAUGAAGAAAGGGAAAAUGAAGAAAGGGAAAAUGCAAAUGAAGAAAGGGAAAAUACCCUCUAUGCUUUCCUAAUUACACAGAGCCAAUUGAAUUUGUUAAUCUGCUAUCAAAUGUUAGUCAGUUUGCAGUACAACCUGGUGAAUGUUAAUGUAUCACCUAAAUUAGAUUAUAUGCCUGUUGUCUUUGUCCAUGGAGUUUUCUUGGCAGGUAUACUGGAGUGGCUUGCGGUUCCUGCUCCAGGUGGAUCACGUUUGGUCAAAACUCUCCACUAUGACCUGUCCAUCUUGGGUGGCCCUGCACGGCAUAGCUCAUAGCUUCUCUGAGUUAUUCAAGCCCCUUCGCCACGACAAGGCAGUGAUCCAUGAAGGGGAUCUGAUCUGGUCCAUGGGGUCACGAAGAGUCGGACACGACUAAACGACCAAACAACAACAAAAUUAGAUUAAUCAACAAAAGCUUUACAUUUUGCCUUUCAUUAGUGGCUGGGACUUAGUCAUGAUCUCUACACAUGAACUUUUAAUUUGUUUUCCAUUUAUAACAUUUCACAACUGAGGAAAUAAACAGAAGGGCUGGAAUGUCGUACAUGAGGUCCAAUGAUAUUUGAUAUCACUUUUUACAGGUAACAUGGAAGAAUGGGGCAACACAACUGCAGUGACUGAAUUUGUUCUAAUAGGCCUCUCCAGAAACCCCAAAGCACGUGCUGUUUUGUUUAUUCUCUUCUUGCUGAUGUACGUGGUUGUUGUAGCUGGGAAUGGACUUAUUGUGGUGCUCAUUGUGAUGGAUUCGCACCUCCAUACACCCAUGUAUUUCUUCCUCAGCAACCUCUCCCUCAUUGAUGUUUGCUAUGUCACCACCUCUGUCCCACAGAUGCUGGCCCACUGCUUCACAGACAGGCCCACAAUCCCCAAGGGCAGAUGUUUUGCACAAAUGAGCAUUGCUCUGUUUUUGGCAGUGGCCGAGUGCCUUUUGCUAGCAAUGAUGGCGUAUGACCGUCUUGUGGCAAUAUGCUACCCUCUACGUUACAGCUUAAUCAUGAGCCAAAAGUUGUGCAUCUCUCUGGCAGUCAGCCUGUGGUCUAGCUCUUUCCUCCUGACCAUUGUUCCCUUUUUCAGUAUGCAGGCACGCUUGUGUGGGCCCAAUGUGGUGAAUCAUUUCAAAUGUGAGCUCCAGGCAGUGUUGAAAUUGGCCUGCUCUAAUACCCAAGCCAGUGGAGUCAGCAUGAUGGUAACCAGUGUCUUCACUCUGGUGUUCCCCUUCUCCUUUGUUUUGGUGACCUAUGGUCGCAUUGGUGUCGCUGUUCUGCAUAUCCGCUCAUCACAAGGCCGUAGUAAGGCCUUGUCAACCUGUGGUUCUCAUCUGGCUGUGGUGGGAAUUUUCUAUGGCACAACCUUGGCCAUGUACCUCAGGCCUCAAGCCAAAACAUUCACUGACAAGGAAAAAGUAGUGGCUGUGUUUUAUGGGGUCGUCACUCCCAUGCUCAAUCCCAUGAUCUACAGCCUGAGGAACAGGGAUGUGAAAGGAGCCCUGUGGAGAGCAAUUGGAAGGAAAGUGGAGGAAUAAAGCACUUCAGAAAUUAAAUUCUAUAUUGAUAGAUAGAUAUCAGCAGGAAUACGUAAAGUGUUUUGUUAUUCUGCAAAUGGGUGGAGUUCAAAGUAGUGCUAAGGAGAUCAUUCCAUCAGUGUAAGAAUUUCUGCUUGUCUGAAGGGAAGGAUUUCCACUUCAAUGUGCUUCUCUGGAGCAGAAUGGGGGGGGGCUGCCCAUUUGCACUAGCAUGAGUCAUGCUGGCUCCCACUAGCACAACUUAUUUAAUUGAAUCUAGUCCAAUAUUUUUAUUGCUGCUGGUGGUUAUGGUGGCAAUAUAGCUUCUCAUAGUGAGGAAAGGAAAAUAUUUAGCUGUACCCCAAGCAGUUUACAAAUCUAACUAUAGGCAUGGGCUGGGGGAACCUGUGGUCCUCCAGCUGUUUUUGGACUCCAACUAUCAUCAGUCCCAGCUAGCAUUGCCAGUGUGAUCAGGGAAGAUGGGAGCUGUAUUCCAGCAACAUCAGGAGGCCCCCAGGUUCUCCAUCUUUGCUUGAGUAAAAGAGUAAAAGGCAAGGAAAGGCAAGGAUAUUUACAGUUUCUUCUCUGCAGAUUUCUUGACAUCCUCUUUCCAAAAAUUGUAUGAUCUCAGAAGCAGUUUUAUUUUUUCAAUCACAACUAGUAAGAGAUCGGUUUUUGGUUUUUGGUUUGCUUUUCCUUCCUUCUUUCUCUUGGGGAGCAUUGUUUCCUAGCUUGUCUUCAGAAAUUCUCCAUUAAAACACACUUUUUAGGCCAGCUAACCAAAUGUUAAAAAUUUAAAUCACCAUUUAAAUCACCAUGUUGUAGUAUCAUUUAAACUUGAGUGGUACAUGAUGUGCAUAAAAUGUUUUUUGUAAGAUUAAACCAUAUUAAACAUCUUUCACAGUAAGCAAAGUCCAACUCUUCUAUUUACCAUGUGAAAGAUCUAUCACACAACCCUCAGAAGUACCAUUUUCAGCCAUCAAAUAAAUUAUUUACAUAUUCAGAGUACAAACAAUUUGUAUUAAAUUGUCUGUGUAUUAAAUAAAUUUAUUAUAUAUAAAUAUCUUCCUCUCCAAGUCCUUAGAAUUAUUUCCCUCUUAUUUUACCUUUAGCUAUGAAUUCCUUGCUUCAGUUUCUGUUAUUCUACCAAUAUGGCUGUGGGGCUAAAAGAGUAUCAGUUGAUUAUAUAGAACAGGUAUGUCCAACUUCAAGUAGGCUGUGACCCAGUAUCAAAAACUGGCAGUGAUCUACCACACUCUUCCAUUGUCAUUCUUCAACUUAAACAUAUUAUAUUUGGCUGAGCUUAUAUUUGGCUUCCCCAAGGCCUUAGCGGAGGACCAUGUCCAGCCCUGCAAAAUGCAAUAUUGCUUCCCACUGCAGGAAGAUGAGCUCCCUUUCCUGGGUUUAGGAAGCUGCCUUAUACCAAGACAGACAGACCUGACAGAUUGGCAGCUUCUCUCCAGAACUUCAGGCAGGAGAAUCUUCCCAGCCCUGCCGGGGCCUCAAACCCAAGUUUGCAUCCUUCCUCACACAAGCACAAACCGCUCCAUGAUCAUGCUGCUCCCCUGCCCCAUGAAAAGUUCCUCAAGGCAAGGUGGCGUGUCACAACCCCCACACCAGCUCCCUCCCAGGGCCCUUGGCACACAUGGGAAGCCAACAUGCCCCCCCCAAGUUCAAUUUCUCCUUUUACCAGACAAUGAGUUCCAACAAAAAACAAAAACAGAACAGUUAUACUAAAAUUAAUCUCCAACCAGAUAUCCAUCCCACCCACCCCCAACAAAGC